UACGGAGGGUGCGAGCGUUAUCCGGAAUUACUGGGCUUAAAGGGUGCGUAGGUGGAUUAGUAAGUCAGUGGUGAAAUCUCCGGGCUUAACCCGGAAACUGCCAUUGAUACUAUUAGUCUUGAAUACCGUGGAGGUCAGCGGAAUAUGUCAUGUAGCGGUGAAAUGCUUAGAUAUGACAUAGAACACCAAUUGCGAAGGCAGCUGGCUACACGAGCAUUGACACUCAGGCACGAAAGCGUGGGGAUCAAACAGG
RNAcentral lists this ribosomal RNA (253 nucleotides) under uncultured bacterium. RNAcentral describes it as "partial 16S ribosomal RNA". It matches the Rfam family "Bacterial small subunit ribosomal RNA", at positions 524 to 776 of the family's 1533-position model. The record is from RNAcentral.